This 1444-nucleotide unclassified non-coding RNA is filed under the name Hevea brasiliensis (rubber tree). Lineage: Eukaryota; Viridiplantae; Streptophyta; Magnoliopsida; Malpighiales; Euphorbiaceae. The record is from RNAcentral.
UCUCUCUCUCUCUCUCACAACAAAAAAAGGAAGUAUGUCAUCAAAUAGAAUAGGUGGCAUUAAUAAGCAAGACGUUGUCACAUUGGGGUAGAAUACACAAAAAGCACCAAGUCAAGGUGAACUACCACAAGAAAUACUGAUGCAUACAAAUGGAGGACACAAAAUAUCAAAUUAAUGUCGUAGAACUGUAAGAAAACCUACUUCUUUAUCAUGCUGAAUAAAGCUAUUCUACUCCACACCCAGUAGAUACAGAGGUUAACAGGUCUAGUUCAGCGACAUGAGAAUAUAUUCAACAGGCAUGCAGUCCAUUGGUGCAACCCCACUGUUAUCACCUACUUUUGCACCAUAUACCCUUAUAAAGGAUCUAUUUAACUAAGAUCGACACCAGCUUAUUUAUAAUCUCAAAGACCAACAGCUUAUUUUUAAUAUUGAAUUAAUGCUGCCAAAAUAAGUCUCCUAUAUAAGUUUUAGUGAUUUUUUUAAAUGCAAUCAGUUCUUAAAUUCAUAAAUUCACACACAGAGCAUCCAAUUAUUGUGUGUUGUCCAACAUGGGCAAUUCAGAAAGCUGAAUUUUUAUGUAGCAAUGCGAUAUACGUGAAGAUAGAUUUAGACACACUUUACAGUAUCAAAACAUACUUGUCUGAAAUACAGAGGGCAGACAUUUAAUUAACUUAGUCAAAUAUGGAUUAUAGUUAAAAGUUAAAACAAAGUGAAACAGAAUAAGGAAGCAGACGUCAACUAACAUAUUAAACAAUAAAAAUCAAGCUGAAUCUAAUAUGGAAGAGACGAAGGGUGCCCAUGACAGACAAAUCACAAAAUCUAUGAUCAACUUCAGGAUAUUAUAACAACAUCAACAACAACAACAAAACAAAAUAAAUCCAGGGAACAAAAAUCCAGAAAAUCGUUUCCUCAAAAAAAAAGGGGAAAUCCCUUUACAAAACAAUCCAUAUACAGAUCCAACCACAUAUCUAGACCAGCUGGAUCAGAUAAGCACGUCGUCAAUUUUUCAAAAAACGAAUAAAAGCUAUCCAUUUUAAAAUUAUAAUAAGGGGAAAAACAGCAAUUGGACAAACCUCCUGGAAUUCAUGGUCUAAAGAUCACCAAUAUCUUUUUGCUUAAAUGCUUCUGUUCCGAUGAAGAAAAAUUGAAACACUUUUUUGGCACAGACACUAGGAAACGACAAUGAGAGUGAAUAAUCUCAAAGCUACCUUCAAAGAGGAGCCCGAAAUUUUCCGCUGUAGAGUAAACAGUGGGAACGACGAAAAGAGGACGGUCAAGUAGUUUGCCGGUAAUAUGAAAAAGAGAGGGAGAAAGGGGAACGAUCAACAAAAUUGGGUGAAAUUGCAGGAUGGGUCCCGCAUAAUUGCUAAGGUGGGUAGCAUGUUCAUGUGUGUUGGGGAGAUAAUCGCUAAGCUUUCUGUGGGAACCUUAGCGGUGAUCCAAU